GUGGUGCGCGCCUGUAAUCCCAGCUACUCGGGAGGCUGAGGCAGGAGAAUUGCCUGAACCCAGGAGGCAGAGGGUGCAGUAAGCCGACACUGUGCCACUGACCUCCAGCCUGGGCCACAGAGCAAGACUUAACCUC
Molecule: long non-coding RNA, 136 nt
Organism: Sapajus apella (tufted capuchin)
Lineage: Eukaryota; Metazoa; Chordata; Mammalia; Primates; Cebidae
Exons: 2
Source: RefSeq, a predicted model, not a curated record